RNAcentral lists this ribosomal RNA (455 nucleotides) under uncultured bacterium. RNAcentral describes it as "bacterial SSU rRNA". It matches the Rfam family "Bacterial small subunit ribosomal RNA", at positions 340 to 786 of the family's 1533-position model. The record is from RNAcentral.
UACGGGAGGCAGCAGUGGGGAAUAUUGCACAAUAGGCGAAAGCCUGAUGCAGCUAUGCCGCGUGUAUGAAGAAGGCCUUAGGGUUGUAAAGUACUUUCAUCGGGGAGGAAAAACAAAACUAAUAAUUUUAUUUCUUGACGUUACCCGAAAAAGAAGCACCGGCUAACUCCGUGCUAGCAGCCGCGGUAAUACGGAGGGUGCUAGCGUUAAUCAGAAUUACUGGGCGUAAAGAGCACGUAGGUGGUUUUUUUAAGUCAGAUGUGAAAUCCCUGGGCUUAACCUAGGAACUGCAUUUUGAAACUGAAAUACUAGAGUAUCGUAGAGGGAGGUAGAAUUCUAGGUGUAGCGGUGAAAUGCGUAGAUAUCUGGAGGAAUACCUGUGGCGAAAGCGGCCUCCUAAACGAAUACUGACACUGAGGUGCGAAAGCGUGGGGAGCAAACAGGGAUUAGAUACC